Long non-coding RNA from Gadus macrocephalus (Pacific cod), 2291 nucleotides. RefSeq lists it as uncharacterized. Lineage: Eukaryota; Metazoa; Chordata; Actinopteri; Gadiformes; Gadidae. The record is from RefSeq and is a predicted model, not a curated record. The transcript is spliced from 4 exons.
UUUUACUGUUGAAUUAAAAAUAAUUCCCUUAUUUUAACUUUACAUUUUUGAUAUCACUCUGAAAUGUUUUUGACUUAUCUUUUUUACGUUAUUGUAUUGUGUUUUUCAUAGAAUGGAAGGAAACACUCAAUGCCUCAAGUGCAGCAACACAGUUUAGAAGAUGUUUGUUGAGAGAGCAAGAGCUGGAGACACCUAUUCGCUUCUCAAUGGACCUAGCAUCAGAUGUUGGAGACAGAGAAAAGGCAGUUCUCGCUUUCUACAAGAUCAAAAGAACAAAAUGGGCUGCCCCACUUCACUGUGUGCUCGAAGGUGAUGCAGCAAUAGGUGAUGGCGUAAGUCGCUAUUUCCUCAGCUUUGCCAUGAACGCUUUACUGUCCGGAUUCAGCAUAAAUUUUGGUAAUGCUGAUGUGACAAUGCUCUUUGAGGGGCAAAAGGAUCACCUCAUCCCCUGCGCAUCACAGCCACUAUUGGACUCUGACCUAUUUAUGAUGACAGGCAGAAUGGUGGGGCAUUCCUUCAUUCACGGUGGCCCAGGUUUGGCAGGCAUCAGUCCUGCUGUCGUCCAUAUGCUCUUAGGGGGGCAAUUGGAGACAGCAACAUUGGUCCCUGAGGAUAGUGUUCCUCUGAUCUUGAUCAGAGGAACACUAUCCACUCGGUAAUGUCUGUUUCUGUAGCUUUUUUUGGUAUGUGUGUGCGGUAAAAUAAAGGACUGAUGUGGAGGACUUUUUUCUCCACUACAGCUGGAAGGCAUUAAUGCGCUGUCUGAGGACCAGAAGGCUGAUGUCAAUAGCCUGACAGACAUGUGGGAGCUGCCACGACUGACUGAUAAGAACAGAAGAUAUCUUCAUCAGCAGCUUUUGCAGCAUGCGGUAAUGGAAGACUUUGUUGAAAUGUAUACAUUUUAACAUACAGUAACUCAAUACUUGGCUGUUUCUGAAUCUGUCUUUUUAUAUUAAUUUAUUUAAAAAAAGGAUAAAUAUGCUAAAUAUUUGGAUAAAAAAAUUAUCACAGAGAAAAAAGUUACAUUUCAUUCAAUUCAGAUCUUACCUUUGUGCAAAUAUUCAGUGCACCAAUCAAUGGACUGCUGUGUCUAGCUCAAACUUUUUGGGACGUCUAGGUACCCCCAUUGAAAGGGUGACGUAAGCCUUAGGUUCCCACUGAGCGUAUUGGUGCUGAUUGCAUGUAUUUAUUUUGAAAAGGCACUGCAGUCCAUGAAUUGUAACUUUGGGAACAGACAGGAGCCCAGGACAGCAUUCUAAAACCACUGAUUGGGCAUGGUCCUUGGUAUUUGCCAUCCACAAUAGAGAAGAUAAUCCAACGCUAAUUUAAGUCAUGCUCUCACCCUGUAUUUCCUUGUGGAUACAAGGACACACUUCCAGACACUUCCUUGUCAGUGGUGGGGAAUUAAAGGAAUAUUUUUGAGACCCAAAUUACAGAAUAAACACAGGCCAUUAUAUGAUUCCUGACAUCUGUUUUAAUUACAUUCGACUAAUGGUUUCAAAGGAGCUCAGAAGCCCAACAACAUGCUACAUUAGCUACAACCCACAUUAUUGACUUUUCUUCACAUUCUCAGUUACUGUUAUGUCAUGUGAAAUGUAUGUUUUUUGUGUGUAUGUGUGUUUAAGAUUCUGGGAAGAACUUCUUCUCAAAUAAAACAAAUGAGAAAGGGUCUUAAAGAAACUGACGUGUGGCCGAUAUUAUCAGAAAGAAAAGAUGUGGCUGAAGCUGUCUUCCCAUCUGGGAAAGAAGUGAUCUGCAGCCCCCAGGUCAUGAUUGAUCACAUCAUCUGGCCGACUGAGUCAGUCGAUGAAGAAGACAAGGACUAUCCUCUUGAGACAAGAGCCAAGGUUGGGAUGUUCCUCCAGCAGUUCAUUGAAACUGGUAUGCCAUUCCCAUAUACCUCUCAUUAUGAAGACGUCAAAGAAUGAUGACAGUAUUUUUAGAAUAGCCCACAGCUUAAGGCUACAAUUUUGUUUGUAUGACCUACCAUUUUCACAGCAGUAAAAAUAUAUGUUCCUGUCUUUGUUCCUUAAUUAUUUAUGCUAAUUAACUAUUUUUUUGUAGCUCCAGCAGUGUCUCGCUUAAACCUACACCGGUUUUGGACUGGGUGGGAAGUGUUAUCUGGGAUGCUGAAAGUGGAGGUUGUGCGUGGGAAGUUCCCCAAAUCCUCCACCUGUUACAUGUGCCUCCGCAUCCCUGGCCACCUCUCAGCUUAUGACGAUUUUAAACAAGCUCUUGAGGCAUCCAUCGGGACGUGGGAUACGGGAUUUGGACUUGUAUAAUGCUGCUGG